GAAGUCCAUUUCAAUGAAGGAGUAGCAGUCCACAUUGACGCCGAGCCGUGCACUGGCGAUCGCGAGGUCGUUGGCGAAGCGUCGGCAGGAGAAUGCGCAGGCCAGCCAUUGAGCCGCGAAAGGGACGUGAUCUUGCGGUCACCGCGCU
Molecule: non-coding RNA, 148 nt
Organism: Rhizobium sp. CF142
Lineage: Bacteria; Pseudomonadati; Pseudomonadota; Alphaproteobacteria; Hyphomicrobiales; Rhizobiaceae
Source: Rfam